Molecule: ribosomal RNA, 465 nt
Filed under: Vreelandella stevensii
Lineage: Bacteria; Pseudomonadati; Pseudomonadota; Gammaproteobacteria; Oceanospirillales; Halomonadaceae
Description: partial 16S ribosomal RNA
Rfam family: Bacterial small subunit ribosomal RNA
Source: RNAcentral
CCUACGGGUGGCUGCAGUGGGGAAUAUUGGACAAUGGGGGGAACCCUGAUCCAGCCAUGCCGCGUGUGUGAAGAAGGCCCUCGGGUUGUAAAGCACUUUCAGUGAGGAAGAACGCCUGGUGGUUAAUACCCAUCAGGAAAGACAUCACUCACAGAAGAAGCACCGGCUAACUCCGUGCCAGCAGCCGCGGUAAUACGGAGGGUGCGAGCGUUAAUCGGAAUUACUGGGCGUAAAGCGCGCGUAGGUGGCUUGAUAAGCCGGUUGUGAAAGCCCCGGGCUCAACCUGGGAACGGCAUCCGGAACUGUCAAGCUAGAGUGCAGGAGAGGAAGGUAGAAUUCCCGGUGUAGCGGCGAAAUGCGUAGAGAUCGGGAGGAAUACCAGUGGCGAAGGCGGCCUUCUGGACUGACACUGACACUGAGGUGCGAAAGCGUGGGUAGCAAACAGGAUUAGAUACCCCGGUAGUC